GUCGUGUGUAUUAUAAGAACAUAAUGGGGAAAACGUGUGUUGGUGGUCACCGGUGCUCAGGAGAGGAUUUAAUUCAAGGAUUACUUGAGACUCAUGUCGCCAGGAGAACGAUGCUCUUAAUCUCACCCUGCUUGUAUUUGCUGUGGCCAACACCUGAUUCAUGAUGUUGGCUUACUCUGGUGCCGUAAUCAGCACCAUCUCGGCCGCCCACCUGUCAUCAAUCAGCCUUCAUCAUCACCUGCAUAAAAGCCUGCCAGAUCCCGGAAAACCUCACCAGAGUAUUAACAUUCUCCUGUGGUACACCGGCUCU
Phycodurus eques (leafy seadragon) is the source of this 310-nucleotide long non-coding RNA. RefSeq lists it as uncharacterized. The record is from RefSeq and is a predicted model, not a curated record. Lineage: Eukaryota; Metazoa; Chordata; Actinopteri; Syngnathiformes; Syngnathidae. The transcript is spliced from 3 exons.